RNAcentral lists this non-coding RNA (30 nucleotides) under Arabidopsis thaliana (thale cress). Lineage: Eukaryota; Viridiplantae; Streptophyta; Magnoliopsida; Brassicales; Brassicaceae. RNAcentral also lists the same sequence under 1 other name. The record is from RNAcentral.
CGGAUGCUAACGCAAUGUGAUUUCUGCCCA